CUAUCCUGCAGUCUCCCACUGCCUUUGCCUUGGAUUUGGGAGAAUACUGCUAUAAACAUAGGGGAUAUGUGGGAGAUAAUGCUGAUGCAUCAUCUCCAAAAAAAAUGGCAUCAUGGGAGGAGGGCUACAUUUGUAGUAAGGGAGCCUGAUUUAAGAUCUUAACUGCUUCUUAACAUAUGUGUGACUAUAGGUAAGUUAAUUAACCAAUUUGGGCCUCAGUUUCCUUAGUUGCUAAAUAAGGAAGCUGUACCAGAAUCUAUGGUCCUUUCCAACUCUAAAUCUAUUAUAUGAAGUAGUAUCAUUUUAGAAGUCAGUUUGGUAGUGGGGAGGAGAGUUUCUUAGGUCCUUGAAUCUACUCUAUUUAGGGAAGUCAUUAAUCAUCAGUUGGGAAUUUUAGAGCAGGAUUUAUUCAUGUUUCUCAUUCUUCCUACUCCCUAGAUUCCUGCCUUUCCCAAAGAGAAGAUCUAGGAAGACCAGGUGAUGGUGGCCAUGACUCUGACAUCUAGGGUCUUGAUAUCAGAAGUCCAUGGAAAGAAACCAAAAUCAUCAAGCAUUUCCAAAGAAAGCCCAGAGAGAGGAAUAAUGGAAACAUCUGGAUACCCACCAAGCACAUCACGCCAUGUGGCACAGGGCCAGGAAGAGAAGCGAAGCAGAAGAACAACACAGAUGACAUGGAUCACCAGCAGACCAGCCACACUCAAGGCACACCUGACGAGAUGCUCACAGUUAAAACUUAAUUGAAGAGUUCCGGUCAAGAUGGCAGCUUAGAGAAAGCUAAAGUCCAGAUCUCCUGAAACCCUUCCUUACAGAUCUCAAACCGAAUGCUCCUAGGGCACCGAAAUCCAAAACAAUCAACAACAUAGACCCCGGGAGUCCUCCUCCUGGACCUGGACAUGAAUCAGAAGGUACGGCCUCCCCCAAAAGCCAGAACCCGAGACCACUCAGACCUAAGGGGUAGGCAGAAGGAAGGUCCUAGGACCCAUCCCCCCCAAGCCAGAGCGCCGAGUCCAAGUCCGAGGCAGCAGAGGCAACCUCAGAGCCCCACGGCCUGCUAUUCUGAAGGCUGCUUCCUGAAAACAAUCUGACCCAGUCGAGGGGGCACCCAGACAGCAGGGAAACAGAGAGAGAGGGGGGAGCUUGUAACCCCCUGGCUGGAUCCUUCCAUUGGAGUCUCACGAAAAAAGUCCCUGCCUCAAGGCAUACUAAAUUCAACCCAGGGAAAGCUAAUCUCAUUAGGAGCCCUUGGAGCUCCGGGAAGCCGUGGCCCCUCUCCCUGCAGAGUGCGGCAGCUGACUGGCUAAGGCACAGGAACAAGGGCCAAGCUAGGCUCAGAGCGUGGAAGUAAGGCAACGGAGAAGCAUCAGGAGGGUGCCGAGGAGAGGAGGGCAGUAACAGGGACACACCAGCAAUUCCUGGCUCCCCGGGAAGACAGAAUAACAACUGCAUAGAAUGGACAAUCUGCCUAGGGCUAAAACCUCUGAACGCCAGACAGAGAUAAGAAAAGCUAA
Molecule: long non-coding RNA, 1508 nt
Filed under: Monodelphis domestica (gray short-tailed opossum)
Lineage: Eukaryota; Metazoa; Chordata; Mammalia; Didelphimorphia; Didelphidae
Description: lncRNA (ENSMODG00000048734.1)
Source: RNAcentral